AGAGUUUGAUCAUGGCUCAGGAUGAACGCUGGCGGCGUGCCUAAUACAUGCAAGUCGAACGAGGAGUUCUUGUAGCAAUACGAGGGCUUCCUAGUGGCGAACGGGUGAGUAACGCGUUGGUGACCUGCCCCAAAGUGUGGGAUAACAGACCGAAAGGUUUGCUAAUACCGCAUGUGGUUUUGAGGAUUAGAGGCCUCAUUUCGAAAGGAGAAAUCCGCUUUGGGAGGGACCUGCGUCCCAUCAGCUAGUUGGUAGGGUAACGGCCUACCAAGGCUUCGACGGGUAGGGGGCCUGAGAGGGUGGCCCCCCACAAUGGAACUGAAACACGGUCCAUACACCUACGGGUGGCAGCAGUAGGGAAUAAUGUGCAAUGGGCGAAAGCCUGACACUGCAACGCCGCGUGUGCGAUGAAGGCCUUCGGGUCGUAAAGCACUUUUCUGGGAGAUGAGAAAGGACAGUAUCCCAGGAAUAAGCCUCGGCUAACUACGUGCCAGCAGCCGCGGUAACACGUAGGAGGCAAGCGUUAUUCGGAUUUACUGGGCGUAAAGCGCGUGCAGGCGGUUCGGUAAGUUGGAUGUGAAAGCUCCUGGCUUAACUGGGAGAGGUCGUCCAAUACUACCGGACUAGAGGACGGUAGAGGAAGGUGGAAUUCCCGGUGUAGUGGUGAAAUGCGUAGAUAUCGGGAGGAACACCAGUGGCGAAGGCGGCCUUCUGGGCCGUUCCUGACGCUCAGACGCGAAAGCUAGGGUAGCAAACGGGAUUAGAGACCCCGGUAGUCCUAGCCGUAAACGAUGCAAACUUGGCGUCGGUGGGUUAAUAUCCAGCGGUGCCGAAGCUAACGCGAUAAGUUUGCCGCCUGGGGACUACGGCGCAAGGUUAAACUCAAAGGAAUUG
This 894-nucleotide ribosomal RNA is filed under the name uncultured bacterium. RNAcentral describes it as "bacterial SSU rRNA". It matches the Rfam family "Bacterial small subunit ribosomal RNA", at positions 8 to 912 of the family's 1533-position model. The record is from RNAcentral.